UGAUGGGAGGAACCCCACCAGGUGAAAGGGGCUCUUUAGUCAGCAUGCCACUGAGUUCUGGUUGGGCAACACACCAGGAAGAAGAGGAGCCAGCAUCACUUCUGAUGACACACGAUACUUCCAACAACAGUUUGGCAAAGACUGGAUUUGGGAAGCCCUCCAACAAAACAUUCCCUGUGGUCACUUCAAAGAGGGACAUGUUAUAAUGAAAGGACUGCUUCUAGCUCUUCCUCAAACUACAUGAAGUUCUCACAAAAUAAUGCAGAGAAGCAAAAGUUAAAAAAAAAGAAAUCCAUGAUGAGCAGCAUACUGAAUUCUGCUUUCAAUGAAAAACCAGACAUCAAACUCAACUGCAAGCUGUCAGGAGAGCUCAGCAGUUUGUACAGCUUCACAAGGGCUUUCUUCUGCAUGUCACUGAAUUUCAGCUGUUUUAUGCCUGACAGCUUCAUGACAAGAACAUUCUGCUGACAGAUAUUGACCAUGGUACGUGUUUCCCCAGCACAUCUGGCCCCACGGUUAAAUACCUGGGAUUGCUUCUGAGCUGACUGCAGUGCUUUGCUUUUAAAUGGACCAUUAUGAGCUGACUGGAGGGAUCUCUAACUUUUCAAAUCCCUUGAAUUCUCUUGUCUAUGUGUGAUGGGACUUACAAAAAGACACUGAAUUGUAACAGAUUUUCAUGGCAGAUUUUAGUUAGUUUUAGUCUCUUUCCGGGUGAAGGUCAAUGCACAUUAAGUAACAGCAAGUGCAAACAUCCAAGUGCUCCAUUUGCCUUUGUACAAAGGUCUAUGCAAUCUCAGGCCCCACACCAUGCAUGUGGGAUUCACCACUCCAACGCACUUUCUAAAUCAAGUCUGACAAACAGCUGCUGAGAACCACAACCUACUGACAUUUCACAUCAGCCCACUUUUAAGUCCCUACUUGCUAGCAGGGGACAAAUCAAGAUGACAUAAACUCUCACAGGUCCAUCUUGGGCAUAGCUGCCACAUACUCAGCCUUUUGGUGACUUUGUUUCACAGUUGCCCCCUUCUUUGGCUUCCACAGGGGACUGAUUAGCUAGGAGUGGCUGGGAGUGCAUAUCUCUUUUACUGCCAGGGAAGCAGGGUGCUGCUACUCAGGAAGCACAGAAGUCCUGAUUUAUCUCCCUUGCAGAAAACUAACUUUGCCAUUUCCUCAAGAAUGAAGGCAUUUUGGGUUAAAGUUCACUCUUCCAGGAUGCUUCAGGAUUUUUCAAUGACCAGUCUUUGAAAGGACCAGGGUUCUAAAACCAUAAAUUGUUGUUUAGUUUCUUCUAUUCUAACACUGAAAAGAUCUUGGCACCAACAUCCCACAUCCUUUCUCUUUUAUGCUUAUGCAUUCCUUGGCACACCUUAGGUUACAGCAAAGCACAGACCAUCUCUGACACAACGUUCUAGGUUUCUAGCUAUGCAGUGAUGUUCAGGAACCUUAUCUUAAAUGCAUUGGGUAUCUUUUGAUCCCUUUCAUGUGCUCUCCAUCCUCAUGCAGCGCAUUCUGAAGUGACUGUCCCUGCAGGAGGUGGGGGAGGGAGCUGCAGCCAGAAAUUCUCCAGGGAAACUUUGCAGCUAGCUCAAAGUAAGCCGACCUGGCUCUUCCUUAACAGAAAUAGCUGUCAGGAUGCCUUCAUAUUUUAUGAGCAGGGGCAGUUUAAUAAUACGUACAUAUAAAAUAAAAGCCUCUCACAUCAAUGACAAACGGAGAUACAAAAAAUGUUGAAAUAGGCCAGUGUUCUUUGGGCUAACAGUGUACAUCUGGUUGAAAGAAACAUCUUACGCUGAUGUUAUUUCUUAGCAAUUCCACCCAGUUAUUUUGGGUAUGCAGUCCCAGUCCUUAAAUAUCUGCAUAAAUGUCAUUCGCAGGGAGGAGAGGCUGGUUUGGUUCACUUUGCACACUCAUCUGUGCUUCUCCAAGACAGAACUAGGAUGCAAGGGAAGAUGAAGAAUGACUCAGGCUCUGCCUACACUGUAGGUUUCAAAUUGGGAAAAUAAGAUAGCAGAAGCAUUUUGUAUUACCUUAUGAAAUGUUGUUGCCAUUUUUAUCAAUGUUAUCAAUAAUUUUUUGUAGAAGCACUUGUGCUGAUGCCAGUUGUUUUGAAGAUGUCACACUCUCCCAACCCUAUUUAGACAAGUUGGAAUUGUGUUUUAUUUCUUUGCACUAUUGGCUCUAAACAUUUGAAAGCCACAAGCCAUGCUAUAUAAACAAAAAAGGUGUCUAGUGUUCAUCAGUAAUAACUCAAGGUGGCUUUUAGCAGAGAUUUAAAUGAAAGCUCACCAUUAGCUAGAAUGUCUGUUGCCCCGUUGAGUCCUUUUGAGUCUUUUUCUGAGCCCAAGUCUGAGCUAUGAGGCUCAUUUCCAAAUCCAUUGACAGGAUUUAUCCAGGGUCUGUUAGCCAUUGUAGCAGCAGUAAAUGCAUUACCAUGGAACAGCUCAAAGAAAAUAGCUUGGAUUUACAAUGUAAUUGAACAAACUGGGAAAUGAAGUAGCCCCAGCUGUUCCCUGAGUAACCUCCUUGUAACAGGAAAUAAGAUCAAGUGAAAACCAAAGAGGAAUGUCUCCAGGAAGGCAUCUCUCCUUUACCUGGAGAGUUAUUAUUAAAUACUGUGUAUUAUGGGUAAGUCUGCUAUAAUAUUAUGUGUAUAUAACACUUCUGUUCCAAAUAUGUAUUGAUCUACUACACAUGGCUACAAAUAAAUGCAUUUAUACCGUUAAUAUUGUGUAGGCAUAUAUGAACAAUUCUUUACCAAAAUAUUUGUAUGUUCUGUUGUCUACAUGUUUAUGAAAUCCUACCCCCUAAAUUGAGAACACACACAGAAACAUGUUCAUGUGAGUGGAUCACAGUCCUGCACUGUCAUGAUAACAUGAUGCUCAAUACUCAAAGUGCUGAAAACUCAGCAAAAUGAGAGAGACAGUGCAGGGAAUGCUUCCACAAGCUUUACAGUGGUAGUCAGAAUAAAAGAACCAACAAGGAUAUCAAGUGUGUACAGCAUUGUGCACUGAAGGUUGCAUUACAUAGUUGAACAAACACAGAAAUGUGAAAUACACUCAAGAGCUCUACCCUUCCUGUAGUGAAAUCCACAUCCUUGAAUAAAAUUCAGAUAUAACUCCUCUCCAUAUGUCUGCAAGGGAGAGAGCAGCUAGGGGGCAAACCAUUUAUCCUGGGCAGGACUCCUCUACUGUAACAGUUCUGCAAGGCAGAGCAUGGCAGUGAGCUGCUGCUGUCUGGGAGUCCAUAUCGUCCAUAUAGACAGGAGAAGCCUGCACGUGUUGGUUUUUUCUACCACACAGAACUCACUGGUACCUCCUAAACUAGCACAGGCUAUUUCCAAAUCUGCAUUAGUGAAAGAGCCAGCAUUGCUGACCCCCAUCUGCAGCAAACUAAAGGCUAAGAAGAAAAAGCAAAUGCCUAAUCUUCUUUCUU
Numida meleagris (helmeted guineafowl) is the source of this 3432-nucleotide long non-coding RNA. RefSeq lists it as uncharacterized. The transcript is spliced from 4 exons. The record is from RefSeq and is a predicted model, not a curated record. Lineage: Eukaryota; Metazoa; Chordata; Aves; Galliformes; Numididae.